This 312-nucleotide ribosomal RNA is filed under the name Chelatococcus daeguensis. Its description in RNAcentral is "bacterial SSU rRNA". It matches the Rfam family "Bacterial small subunit ribosomal RNA", at positions 379 to 707 of the family's 1533-position model. Lineage: Bacteria; Pseudomonadati; Pseudomonadota; Alphaproteobacteria; Hyphomicrobiales; Chelatococcaceae. The record is from RNAcentral.
UCCCUUGAUCCAGCCAUGCCGCGUGAGUGAUGAAGGCCCUAGGGUUGUAAAGCUCUUUUAUCCGGGACGAUAAUGACGGUACCGGAAGAAUAAGCCCCGGCUAACUUCNUGCCAGCAGCCGCGGUAAUANGAAGGGGGCUAGCGUUGCUCGGAAUCACUGGGCGUAAAGGGCGCGUAGGCGGACGUUUAAUUCAGGGGUGAAAUCCCGGGGCUCAACCUCGNUAAUUGCCUUUGAUACUGGAUGUCUCGAGACCGGAAGAGGUAAGUGGAACUGCGANUGUANAGGUGAAAUUCGUAUAUAUUCUCAAGAAC